AUUGAACGCUAGCGGGAUGCUUUACACCUGCAAGUCGCACGAGUGGCGGACGGGUGAGUAAUAUAUCGGAACGUGACCAGUAGCGGGGGCUAACUACUCGAAAGAGUGGCUAAUACCGCCUACUCUUGGAGCGGCCGAUAUCGGAUGAGCUAGUUGGUUGGGUAAAUGCUCACCAAGGCAACGAUCCGUAGCUGGUUUGAGUGGACGACCAGCCACACUGGGACUGAGACACGGACCCGACUGCGACGGGAGGCAGCAGUGGGGAAUUUUGGACAAUUGGUGAAACCCUGCGCCAGCCAUCACGCUUGUAUGAGAAGGCCUUCGGGUUGUAAAGUACUUUUGGCAGAGAAGCGGUAUCUGCAGAAUAAGCACCUGCUAACUACGUGCCAGCAGCCGCGGUAAUUC
This 405-nucleotide ribosomal RNA is filed under the name uncultured bacterium. Its description in RNAcentral is "partial 16S ribosomal RNA". It matches the Rfam family "Bacterial small subunit ribosomal RNA", at positions 30 to 526 of the family's 1533-position model. The record is from RNAcentral.